RNAcentral lists this ribosomal RNA (406 nucleotides) under uncultured bacterium. RNAcentral describes it as "bacterial SSU rRNA". It matches the Rfam family "Bacterial small subunit ribosomal RNA", at positions 355 to 776 of the family's 1533-position model. The record is from RNAcentral.
UGAGGGAUAUUGCACAAUGGGGGAAACCCUGAUGCAGCGACGCCGCGUGGGUGAUGAAGGUCUUCGGAUCGUAAAACCCUUUUCUGCGUGACGAGACAAGGACGGUAGCGCAGGAAUAAGUCUCGGCUAACUACGUGCCAGCAGCCGCGGUAAAACGUAGGAGGCAAGCGUUAUCCGGAGUUACUGGGCGUAAAGCGCAUGUAGGCGGUUGGACAAGUUGAGUGUGAAAGCUCCCGGCUAAACUGGGAGAGGACAUUCAAGACUGUUCGACUAGAGGAUGGUAGAGGGGCGUAGAAUUCCGGGUGUAGCGGUGAAAUGUGUAGAGAUCCGGAGGAAUACCAGUGGUGAAGACGACGCCCUGGGCCAUUACUGACGCUGAGAUGCGAAAGCGUGGGGAGCGAACGGG